Long non-coding RNA from Anolis carolinensis (green anole), 2988 nucleotides. RefSeq lists it as uncharacterized. Lineage: Eukaryota; Metazoa; Chordata; Lepidosauria; Squamata; Anolidae. The transcript is spliced from 5 exons. The record is from RefSeq and is a predicted model, not a curated record.
UUCCCUGGGUGCGCAUGCGCAGAGCGUAAACAGCCGAAGCCUCCCUCAGAGAGGAAGUUGUCUGUUGUGGAGCGACUCUGAAGAGUGACAGGCGUCAGUUGGGAGCACAGCUCAAGGCAAGGGUUCCCUUAAUGGGAUGGAGGCCUCACUUUGAAGUGGUUUUGUGAAGAACUGGCUCUAUUUGGUGGAGAAGGCCUAAGGCCUAAAGCAGAAAGGGUAUGACAGAAAGAUCUGAGGAAAGAGAGAGUGGGCGGGACAGAGGAAUUCAUCCCUAAAUGCAGAGAGGGUACUAGAACUAAAUCCCAACAGAUACCAAGAAUCCACUGCAUCACUCCAGGAUCCUUUGAGAAAUUAAAAUGAGCAGCUUUUCAUUGAAACCAGGAGAGAAGAAAAUAAAACAACAAGCUAUUAUUUGGAAUGGAGAAUGAGCCAUAUAAGUAAAGAACCGUACUAUGUGGCAUCCACACAAGUGCUAUCAACACAAGAGAAGGCUUUGAACCCUCUUCGCUCUGGGCUUCUUACCCCGCUUGGUCUUGGGCUCUCCACCAAGACUCAUUGCUCUCCUCAAGGACCAGCCACGAAGCCACCUUUCAGAAGAGAGAGUUCGAGCUAAAGCAAGCAAGGCAAAAAAAGGUUAAGGUGGUACCAAACUGCAUUCAUUCUGCUUCCUGUAUAGAUAGUUCUGCUUCUCCCUGACUUUCCCAGUCUUCCCAUCUAUGGCCUCUUCAACACUGCCCUAUAAUCCAGAUCAUCAAAGCAUAUUAACCCACAUUAUCUGCUGUGAACUGGAUUAUAUGAGUCAACACUGCCAUAUGGAGUCCCUGAUGGCGCAGCAGGUUAAACCGCUGAGCUGCUGAACUUGCUGACCGAAAGAUUGCUGGUUCGAAUCCGGGAAGCAGGGUGAACUCCCGCUGUCAGCCCCAGCUUCUGCCAACCUAGCAGUUCAAAAACAUGCAAAUGUGAGUAGAUCAAUAGAUACUGCUCCAACGGGAAGGUAACAGAGCUCCAUGCAGUCAUGCCUAUGGCCACAUGACCUUGGAGGUGUCUAUGGACAACGCUGGCUCUUCGGCUUAGAAAUGGGGAUGAGCACCAACCCCCAGAGUCGGUCACGACUAGACUUAAUGUCAGGGGAAAACCUUUACCUUUACCUUACACUGCCAUAUAAUCCAGUUCAAAAAUAAUCUGGAUUUUAUAUGGCAGUGUGGAGCAAAAGGAUAGAAACCUGGAAGCAGAUGCAAAGUCAGCCGACCGGUUUUCUCUUGGGCCAGUUCUGGUGAACCCUCACUCUGGCCCCUUCCACACUGCCAUAUAAAAUACAGAUUAUCUGCUUUGAACUGGAUUAUAUGGCAGGGUAGACUCAUAUUUAAUGAAGUUCAAAGCAGAUCAUGUGGAUUAUCUGGUUCCGUAAUCUGGAUUAUAUUGCAAAGUAGAAGGGACCCCGUCCCUAAGAGUUAUCGGUCCAUGAAGUUCUUCCUUCUUUCAUCUUCUCCUAUUGCUUGAACGUUUUGUACAACAUAGCAGGCUUGGAAAUGAAGAGAAAACAUUUUAAAUAUAACCACAACCAUUUAUUUUUGGUAGAGGGAUCGCAAACCUACAGGCUUCCUCUUUUUUAAGCAGCUACGGGUUGGGAGUCCAUUUCCGUUCUUUGGCUAUUAGGCCCCUUCUACACUGCCACAUAAUCCAGAUUAGGAAAUUGCAUUGAUAACCUAGGAACAAAAAUCAUAGUCCAGGAGGCGUUUCUUUUGACAGAGGGACCGUGAUGGCAAAUCAACUGAGAAUUCCUGAAUAGUAGCAUUGAUCUACUCACAUUUGCAUGGUUGGUAGAAGCUGGGGCUAACAGCGGGAGCUCACCCUGCUCCCCGGAUUUUAACCUUUUGGUCAGCAAAUUCUUUGCAAUAUAAUGCAAUAUACAAUAAAAAGGUAAAGGUUUCCCCUGACGUUAAGUCCAGUUAUGUCCAACUCUGGGGGUCGGUGCUCAUCUCCAUUUCUAAGCCGAAGAGCCAGUGUUGUCAGUAGACACCAUGUGGCCGGCAUGACUGCAUGGAGCACGGUUACCUUCCUGCCGGAGCAGUACCUAUUGAUCUACUCACAUUAGCAUGUUUUUGAACUGCUAGGUUGGCAGAAGCUGGAGCUAACAGCAGGCGCUCACUUUGCUCCCCAGAUUUGAACCUGGGAUUAUCCAACGCAGUUUGCCUUUUAGUAGUCAAUGUUUUUGUGGUCAAUUUUUCAAUACAUUGUGAAGUUUUAGUGCUAAAUUUCAUAAAUACAACUAUUACUACGUAACGUUACCGUGUAUCAAACUGCUUUUUCUGUCGAUUUGUUGUAAAACAUGUUUUUGUGCUUAAUUUGUAAAAUCAUAAUGUAAUUUGAUGUUUAAUAGGCUUUUCCUGAAUCCCUCCUUAUUAUCCAACAUAUUCACUUAUCCAACAUUCUGCCGGCCCGUUUAGCUUGGAUAAGUGAGACUCUACUGUAAUACUAAUCAUAAUAAAAUAUAAUAACAUAUAAUAAUAAUAUUGCAGUAUAGUAAUACUAAUAUAUUGUAAUACGGCUGAUAAUGUAUAAUAAUAUACAGUAGAGUCUCACUUAUCCAAGCUAAACGGGCCGGCAGAAGCUUGGAUAAGCGAAUAUCUUGGAUAAAAAGAGGGAUUAAGGAAAUGCCCAUUAAACAUCAAAUUAGGUUAUGAUUUUACAAAUUAAGCAACAAAACAUCAUGUUAUACAACACAUUUGACAGAAGAACUAGUUCCAUACACAGUAAUGUUACAUUGUAAUUACUGUAUUUACGAAUUUAGCACCAAAAUAUCACGAUAUAUUGAAAACAUUGACUACAAAAAUGGCUUGGAUUAUCCAGAAGCUUGGAUAAGCGAGACUCUACUGCAGGGGUCCCCAAACUAAGGCCCGGGGGCCGGAUGCGGCCCUCCGAGGUCAUUUACCUGGCCCCCGCCCUCAGUUUUAUAAUAUAAUAUAUUGUGUGUGUGUGUGUGUGUGU